Arabidopsis lyrata subsp. lyrata is the source of this 650-nucleotide long non-coding RNA. RefSeq lists it as uncharacterized. The transcript has 3 exons. NCBI's taxonomy places the organism in Eukaryota, Viridiplantae, Streptophyta, Magnoliopsida, Brassicales, Brassicaceae. The record is from RefSeq and is a predicted model, not a curated record.
AUAGAAGGUAAAUUGCGUUUAGUGACAUAAGUCUUAAAAAAAAGAGAGAAAAAAAAGGAAAACAGAAAGACGUUUCUUACAUCUUGAUUUCUGAUUUUCUUCGAGCAACUCUAUAUUCCGAUCAGAGAAUCCAUCGAUUCAGCAUGUAUAUCCAAUCAGAGAAUCCAUCGAUUCUGCAUGUAUCUGGGCCGAUCUAGAUCGUUGAUCAUAUUUGGCUUCAAUUGAGUGUGAAUUAUUGCAAAGAGAAGCCGGAUAGCCACUCAUGAAGGUAGGAAACACCAUGACCGAUAUCUGAAGGUAGACAGGAGUCGAAAACCCCGAUUGUCUUAAUCCGGGCAAAAGUUAGAUUUCGAUGCGUGCCCAUAAACCAAUCAAUCAUCAUCUCUAUAAGAUAUGCAAGACACCGACUUGAACUCUCCAAGCCGUUUUGUACAGCUUCACAUCAUCAAGGAAAGCAAUUGAUUGAGACAUUGGAAAAAAGAAAAAUGAGUCGUUUGCUGUGAGUAAAGGUAAUUGUUGGAUGAGUAAGAAAUAAGAAAGACGUUUGAUAUUUAUAGUGAAGUAGAAUGUUAGGGUUUUUGGCUUUAAAAUUUUCGAAAAUCUUGUAGAGGAAGCAGAAAAUAUUGGAUACGUUAACUAUCAUAUCUUCU